Molecule: ribosomal RNA, 419 nt
Filed under: bacterium
Lineage: Bacteria
Description: partial 16S ribosomal RNA
Rfam family: Bacterial small subunit ribosomal RNA
Source: RNAcentral
UGGGGGAUAUUGCACAAUGGGCGCAAGCCUGAUGCAGCGACGCCGCGUGGGGGAUGAAGGCCUUCGGGUUGUAAACUUCUUUUGCUCUGAACAAGGCGCACUUUGGGGUGUGUUGAGUGUAGGGGUUGAUUAGCGCCGGCUAACUACGUGCCAGCAGCCGCGGUAAUACGUAGGGCGCGAGCGUUGUCCGGAAUUAUUGGGCGUAAAGGGCUUGUAGGUGGCUGGUUGCGUCUGUCGUGAAAGCUCAUGGCUUAACUGUGGGUUUGCGGUGGGUACGGGCUGGCUUGAGUGCAGUAGGGGAGGCUGGAAUUCCUGAUGUAGCGGUGGAAUGCGCAGAUAUCAGGAGGAAUACCGGUGGCGAAGGCGGGUCUCUGGGCUGUUACUGACACUGAGGAGCGAAAGCAUGGGGAGCGAACAGG